CCCUUCUUGAAGCUAAUCUCGGGGUUCAC
This 29-nucleotide non-coding RNA is filed under the name Rattus norvegicus (Norway rat). The record is from RNAcentral. Lineage: Eukaryota; Metazoa; Chordata; Mammalia; Rodentia; Muridae.